Molecule: ribosomal RNA, 907 nt
Filed under: Alternaria alternata
Lineage: Eukaryota; Fungi; Ascomycota; Dothideomycetes; Pleosporales; Pleosporaceae
Description: partial large subunit ribosomal RNA
Rfam family: Eukaryotic large subunit ribosomal RNA
Source: RNAcentral
GCAUAUCAAUAAGCGGAGGAAAAGAAACCAACAGGGAUUGCCCUAGUAACGGCGAGUGAAGCGGCAACAGCUCAAAUUUGAAAUCUGGCUCUUUUAGAGUCCGAGUUGUAAUUUGCAGAGGGCGCUUUGGCUUUGGCAGCGGUCCAAGUUCCUUGGAACAGGACGUCACAGAGGGUGAGAAUCCCGUACGUGGUCGCUGGCUAUUGCCGUGUAAAGCCCCUUCGACGAGUCGAGUUGUUUGGGAAUGCAGCUCUAAAUGGGAGGUACAUUUCUUCUAAAGCUAAAUAUUGGCCAGAGACCGAUAGCGCACAAGUAGAGUGAUCGAAAGAUGAAAAGCACUUUGGAAAGAGAGUCAAACAGCACGUGAAAUUGUUGAAAGGGAAGCGCUUGCAGCCAGACUUGCUUACAGUUGCUCAUCCGGGUUUCUACCCGGUGCACUCUUCUGUAGGCAGGCCAGCAUCAGUUUGGGCGGUAGGAUAAAGGUCUCUGUCACGUACCUCCUUUCGGGGAGGCCUUAUAGGGGAGACGACAUACUACCAGCCUGGACUGAGGUCCGCGCAUCUGCUAGGAUGCUGGCGUAAUGGCUGUAAGCGGCCCGUCUUGAAACACGGACCAAGGAGUCUAACAUCUAUGCGAGUGUUUGGGUGUCAAGCCCGAGCGCGUAAUGAAAGUGAACGGAGGUGGGAACCCGCAAGGGUGCACCAUCGACCGAUCCUGAUGUCUUCGGAAGGAUUUGAGUAAGAGCAUGGCUGUUGGGACCCGAAAGAUGGUGAACUAUGCUUGAAUAGGGUGAAGCCAGAGGAAACUCUGGUGGAGGCUCGCAGCGGUUCUGACGUGCAAAUCGAUCGUCAAAUUUGGGCAUAGGGGCGAAAGACUAAUCGAACUAUCUAGUAGCUGGUUCCUGCCG